UGGGGAAUAUUGCACAAUGGGCGCAAGCCUGAUGCAGCCAUGCCGCGUGUGUGAAGAAGGCCUUCGGGUUGUAAAGUACUUUCAGUCGGGAGGAAGGUGGUAAGGUUAAUAACCUUAUCAAUUGACGUUACCGACAGAAGAAGCACCGGCUAACUCCGUGCCAGCAGCCGCGGUAAUACGGAGGGUGCAAGCGUUAAUCGGAAUUACUGGGCGUAAAGCGCACGCAGGCGGUUGAUUGAGUCAGAUGUGAAAUCCCCGGGCUUAACCCGGGAAUUGCAUCUGAUACUGGUCAGCUAGAGUCUUGUAGAGGGGGGUAGAAUUCCAUGUGUGGCGGUGAAAUGCGUAGAGAUGUGGAGGAGUACCGGUGGCGAGGGCGGCCCCCUGGACAAAGACUGACACUCAGGUGCGAAAGAGUGGGGAGCAAACAGG
Molecule: ribosomal RNA, 429 nt
Filed under: Chloroflexota bacterium
Lineage: Bacteria; Bacillati; Chloroflexota
Description: Chloroflexi bacterium partial 16S ribosomal RNA
Rfam family: Bacterial small subunit ribosomal RNA
Source: RNAcentral